Molecule: long non-coding RNA, 525 nt
Organism: Megalobrama amblycephala (Wuchang bream)
Lineage: Eukaryota; Metazoa; Chordata; Actinopteri; Cypriniformes; Xenocyprididae
Exons: 2
Source: RefSeq, a predicted model, not a curated record
UUGAUCACACCAAGCAGUCUGUGCAGCACCGAUGUAUCUCGGAGGUCUGCCAACCGCCAUUAACUCCAGAAGAAGAAGAAGAAGAAGAUGUAUCUCGGAACAAGCCUAAUAUUCACAACUGUCAGGUGCUUCGGCGCGGCCUUUUUCCUUUAUCUCACCAGGUGUGCAGGUCAAAAUUGCACGAGGAAGAUGUGGCCUCCCUAUACUGCAGGGACAACCUUGCAGUCAUAUGCAAACAAUUUGAUGCUCUUUGUUUCAUCCUGCCCCCAGCUGAAACUGAAAAUUUAAAAAAUAAAGGCAGCAAACAAGCUAUUGCCUAUAAAAAAUAAAAGUAGAAGUUAAUUUUUUAAAUACUUAAAUUGAUGUUCUUUUGUUGAAUUGAUCAUUAUUUAUUGAAUUGUUCAUUACUUUUUACAGUUUCUUGUUUUUUAAAAAAUUGUUAGUAUGUUAUAGUUCUGUUAAAGAUUUCUUUUUAAAUAAACUUGGAUUAUUGGGUUCAAUUAAAGUCUUUUUAAUGUGCUUUUA